GUCACGAUACGAGGUUUCUCAAUUAGAUGUGGAUAAGGUGAUUGAGACUGCAUGUGCUAUUACGCUUCCAAAUGAUCAGCAAGUCCUUCAUAUUUUGACUCAAGAAUAUGUAAUUGAUGGACAGGAGGACGUAAGACAACCUCUUGGUAUGAGCGGAAUGAAAUUAGAGGUUAAAGUUCAUAUUGUCACGGGCGCGAUUGCAGCCGCCCAAAAUAUUGUCAAAUGUAUCAAGCGUUGUGGACUUGAAGUAUCUGAAUUGGUCCUGCAACCUUUGGCUUCAAGUAUGGCAGUCCUUACCGAUGAUGAAAAAGAAUUAGGUGUGUGUUUGGUUGAUAUUGGUGGAGGUACAACUGAUAUUGCAGUAUUAAGGCAUGGAUCUAUUCGUCACACAGCUGUUAUUCCGAUUGCUGGUGAUCAAAUCAAUAAUGAUAUUGCAGUGGCAUUUAGAACUCCUUUACCCUCAGCUGAAGAAAUAAAAAUCAAACAUGGUUAUGCUGCAAGAAGUUUAGCUUCAGCCUCAGAACAAAUUGAAAUUCCUGUAGUAGAUGGUAAGGAGUCAAAAACUAUUUCAACACUCUCAUUGGCAGAGGUUAUUGAAGCAAGAUUGAUGGAGCUUUAUGAGCUUGUUGCAAGUGAGUUGAAACGAAGUGGCAUGGAAGAUAUGAUAGCUUCUGGUAUUGUGAUUACAGGCGGAUCAUCCUUAAUGAAAGGUAUGGUUAAUCUCGGUGAGAGUGUAUUUAGAAUGCCAGUUAGAAUAGGCACACCAAGAAAUGUAGGGGGCUUAUCUGAGGUUGUCGAUAAUCCUAGAUACUCUACAGGUAUUGGAUUAUUGCUUAUGGGUAAAGGGCAAUUAGAAAAAGAAAUGAUGAGUCAAAUUGAUGGCAAUUCAAUAAACCAAAUCUUCAUGAAAAUGAAAAAUUGGUUUCAAGGUAACUUUUAAUUCUUGGAGAUAGGAUAUGUUUGAAGUUGUUGAUAGCAAAUCACAAAAUGCCAUCAUAAAAGUCACUGCCGAGAAAAGACAUCGGGCAUACUAAGGUGCCCGUACCGUAAACCGACACAGGUGGAUGGGUCGAAUAGACCAAGGUGCGCGAGUGAACCCUCUUCAAGGAACUCGGCAAUCUAACCCCGUAACUUCGGAAGAAGGGGUGCCCGUCGCAAGACGGGUCGCAGAGAAAUGGGCCUACCGACUGUUUAGCAAAAACACAGCACUCUGCUAAGUCGUGAAGACGACGUAUAGGGUGUGACACGUGACCAAUGCCGAAAGAUUACGGUGAGAGGUCAGCCGCAAGGCGAAGCUUUGAACCCAAGUCCCGGUGAAUGUCGGCCGUAACUAUAACGGUCCUAAGGUAGCGAAAUUCCUUGUCGGGUAAGUUCCGACCUGCACGAAUCGUGUAACGAGUGGGCCGCUGUCUCGAAGAGGCGCUCGGCGAAGUUGUAGUGGCGGUGAAGAUGCCGCCUACCCGCAGUAGGACGGAAAGACCCCGUGCACCUUUACUGUAAGCUGUCGCUGGAUUUUCGUUCGGAAUACUUAGCGUAAGUGGGAGACGUUGAUCCUUGGGUUUCGGCCUAAGGGGAGUCGCCAAUGAAACACCACCUUUUCUUCAUGAAGAUUCUAACCCUUGCCCGUCAUCCGGGUGGGGGACCACGGCAGCGGGUCAGUUUGACUGGGGCGGUUUCCUCCUAAAGAGUAACGGAGGAGUGCUAUGGUUCUCUCAGCAUGGUUGGUAAUCAUGCGUCGAGCGUAUGGGUACAUGAGAGCCUGACUGCGAGACCUACAAGUCGAGCAGGGACGAAAGUCGGCCCAAGUGAUCCGGUGGUUGAAUGUGGAAUCGCCAUCGCUCAUCGGACAAAAGGUACGCCGGGGAUAACAGGCUGAUCGCGCCCAAGAGUUCAUAUCGACGGCGCGGUUUGGCACCUCGAUGUCGGCUCAUCGCAUCCUGGGGCUGGAGAAGGUCCCAAGGGUCCGGCUGUUCGCCGGUUAAAGCGGUACGCGAGCUGGGUUCAGAACGUCGUGAGACAGUUCGGUCCUUAUCCACUGUGGGCGCAGGAAAUGUGACGGGUUCAUUCCCUAGUACGAGAGGACCGGGAAUGACGCACCUCUGGUGUUCCGGUUGUCGCGUCCGCGGCAGCGCCGGGUAGCUAUGUGCGGAAGGGAUAAGCGCUGAAAGCAUCUAAGCGCCAAGCCCAUCCGAAGAUGACAUUUCCCCAUUAGGGACGUGGUAGAUAAUCACGUUGAUAGGUCGCAAGUGGAAGCACGGCAACGUGUUCAGCUAAGCGAUACUAAUUUCCCAAUUGGCUUGAUCUC
This 2305-nucleotide ribosomal RNA is filed under the name freshwater metagenome. RNAcentral describes it as "bacterial LSU rRNA". The stretch from base 607 to 2304 matches the Rfam family "Bacterial large subunit ribosomal RNA". The record is from RNAcentral.